GCCUUUGUUGAUUAAUGGAUAUCACCUCAACUAGAUUGCACGUGUGUCAGCCAGUAUCAAUUGAGGUCAUGGAGGUUCGAAUCCUCCCGAAGGCA
Mycena galericulata is the source of this 95-nucleotide non-coding RNA. Lineage: Eukaryota; Fungi; Basidiomycota; Agaricomycetes; Agaricales; Mycenaceae. The record is from the annotation of a GenBank genome assembly.